GAGGGAAAGGCGAAAAGAACCCCGGCGAGGGGAGUGAAAAAGAACCUGAAACCGUGUACGUACAAGCAGUGGGAGCACGCUUAGGCGUGUGACUGCGUACCUUUUGUAUAAUGGGUCAGCGACUUAUAUUCUGUAGCAAGGUUAACCGAAUAGGGGAGCCGAAGGGAAACCGAGUCUUAACUGGGCGUUAAGUUGCAGGGUAUAGACCCGAAACCCGGUGAUCUAGCCAUGGGCAGGUUGAAGGUUGGGUAACACUAACUGGAGGACCGAACCGACUAAUGUUGAAAAAUUAGCGGAUGACUUGUGGCUGGGGGUGAAAGGCCAAUCAAACCGGGAGAUAGCUGGUUCUCCCCGAAAGCUAUUUAGGUAGCGCCUCGUGAAUUCAUCUCCGGGGGUAGAGCACUGUUUCGGCAAGGGGGUCAUCCCGACUUACCAACCCGAUGCAAACUGCGAAUACCGGAGAAUGUUAUCACGGGAGACACACGGCGGGUGCUAACGUCCGUCGUGAAGAGGGAAACAACCCAGACCGCCAGCUAAGGUCCCAAAGUCAUGGUUAAGUGGGAAACGAUGUGGGAAGGCCCAGACAGCCAGGAUGUUGGCUUAGAAGCAGCCAUCAUUUAAAGAAAGCGUAAUAGCUCACUGGUCGAGUCGGCCUGCGCGGAAGAUGUAACGGGGCUAAACCAUGCAC
This 688-nucleotide ribosomal RNA is filed under the name Escherichia coli. RNAcentral describes it as "partial 23S ribosomal RNA". It matches the Rfam family "Bacterial large subunit ribosomal RNA", at positions 505 to 1194 of the family's 2925-position model. Lineage: Bacteria; Pseudomonadati; Pseudomonadota; Gammaproteobacteria; Enterobacterales; Enterobacteriaceae. The record is from RNAcentral.